CUCUGAGCCCAGUUUUGUGUAAGGAUGUUCAAAACCAGCUCCUCAGUACAUCACAAGCUUAUCAGCCGGAGCAAGGCUGGAGUGCUCUGCUUUCAGACUGAUAAAUAUACUUAGUCCACUUAUUGUACCCAGAAUUAAUUAUUAACUUUUGCUUAAUAAGCAUCAAUAUUUUUCCUAUCAUGGUGCUGAAGGUCACAAUGGAAAAAGAAAGGAAAAAGCUCCUGUUCUCUGCUACAGGAGAACCAGAAGGGUUAUUGGAGUGUUUUCUCCACUACUAAACUGUCAUCUACAGAAAACCCCCAAAAGCAUGUUUAGGGUUUGGGCAGCAAAAGAGGAGGUUUCUGUGGAACCAAACUUUGGAUUUGCUAAGAUCAAAACACUUGAUAUAGGUAUACAAUCUUAACAACAGCUUUCCUUUGUCAUGCGACUACCUGCCACUAGAAUGAACCAAUGUGAUGCUUUCCAGUCCAUCAGAACUUCUCAGAUAUUUGUAUGGCUGUGACAUUUCCAGCUACACCUAUGCAGAUCAAAACUUACCUAUGGAUUUAUUUCUUAUGAACCAGAUUAUUGGGACACAAUCUAUCCAGAAAUAACCAGACAAUUGUCAGUCAGCUCAUGGGGUUGGCAAUAUAUAUCUGGAGAUUAAUUGCAUUAAUUUGAACCUCAUUAAGGAAUCCACAUCAAAGUCUGUGUUAAAGGCCCAAAGCAUUCUCUGAGGAAUCUUUUAUUUUCUUGCAAUUUCUUCUUUUGUGUUUUAUUCAGCAGGGGAAUUAGAAAUAAACAGGAAUGUGCAAUUUCUAAAAAACCAAAAGCAGUUGUGCACACAAACUCCCAGAGCACUGCAUUCCCAAAGAAGAGCCUACAGUGUUUUGCAAAUUUUCUAACAGCUGUUUGAAAUGAGGAAUAUGCAUAUUUAAACUCACCCCUGUGAAAUCAGCUCUCUUCUACUCUUGUGUGUGUGCCCUAAUACACAGAGUUUUCCCCUAUGUGUAAGAAACAGCAUGAUCCUAAAUUAAUAAACCAAUUUAUCUGAGGUGUUUGGAAGGAGGGAAAAGGAAGGUUAUCUUAAAAUAGCAAGAGGAAAAAAAAGAUGGCUUAAGUACAUCUCAAGUUUCAUUAUCUUUAAGAACUCUACAGCUUAAUAUGUAAAUGGAAGGAAACUGUAACAGGCUCUGUGAGAGGCUGUUUUACCUCUGUGGGUCGUGGGUGUCAGUGGUAUUGAUAUUGCAGUCUUUCUUUCACUGGAGUGUUUUUGAAAAUAGUUCUGACAAACCAAAUGAUGAGGCUGAUCCUGGCUCAGAGCAGGGAAGCAGAGCACUUGAUUUGCAGAAGCCUUGUUUUUCACUACAGUCUAUACCUGUCAACAGGGCAACAAGCGCUAUCCUACCUUUGCCUGUUUCUGCACAAAACCCCUAUGUGGGGAUGUUAAUGCUUUACUUUGGUAACUCUUAGGACUUUUUUUUUUUUGUUUGGCUUUUGCUCUGUUCAAAGUAUUCCUUCCAUACAAUCUUAAAACCAAUUAACCCUGACCCUAAAAUGCCAAGUGUAAACACCCCCAUACCCCGACUGAAUUCAGUGCUAACAUUUUGAAACAUGUUAAUGCUGAGACAUGCUGGCUAAAACCAAAAGCGUAACAAAACCCCAGUCAGUCGUUAGUGCUGAGUUAGGAAUGAGGAAUUAAGUACAGGAGAGAGGAAGCUGGGAAGUCAAGCUAAAAGAGAGGCAGCCUGUGGCUGAGGCAGCUGGGGAACAAUCUCAUCUGCCAGGAGAUGCUGACAAGCCAAAAGACCAUGCAGCCUUUAUCCACAUGAUACAGAUUUAAGGAGUGAAAUACACAAAGUACACAGAUGGGCAUUUGCAAUGUUAUGUUGAAAAUACUGC
Long non-coding RNA from Serinus canaria (Common canary), 1881 nucleotides. RefSeq lists it as uncharacterized. The transcript is spliced from 3 exons. NCBI's taxonomy places the organism in Eukaryota, Metazoa, Chordata, Aves, Passeriformes, Fringillidae. The record is from RefSeq and is a predicted model, not a curated record.